UGUAUAUAAAGGUGCAGGCCUGGCUGUGGAGGUGAGAAGCUUGCUUCCCAACCACAUGGUUCCAGGUUCAGUCCCACUGUGUAGCACCUUGGGCAAGUGUCUUCUACUAUAGCCUCGGGCCUUGUGAGUGGAUUUGGUAGACGGAAACUGAAAGAAGC
Molecule: long non-coding RNA, 158 nt
Organism: Octopus sinensis (East Asian common octopus)
Lineage: Eukaryota; Metazoa; Mollusca; Cephalopoda; Octopoda; Octopodidae
Exons: 3
Source: RefSeq, a predicted model, not a curated record